RNAcentral lists this ribosomal RNA (420 nucleotides) under uncultured Glomeromycotina. RNAcentral's name for it is "SSU rRNA". It matches the Rfam family "Eukaryotic small subunit ribosomal RNA", at positions 675 to 1092 of the family's 1831-position model. Lineage: Eukaryota; Fungi; Glomeromycota. The record is from RNAcentral.
CUGUACUGGUGAGAUGAGUCUCUACCUUCUGAGGAACUUUCAUGCCAUUCGUUUGGUGUGAUGGGAAAUCAGGACUGUUACUUUGAAAAAAUUAGAGUGUUUAAAGCUGGCUAACGUCUGAAUACAUUAGCAUGGAAUAAUGAAAUAGGACGGAUUGAUUCUAUUUCGUUGGUUUCUAGGGUCACCGUAAUGAUUAAUAGGGAUAGUUGGGGGCAUUAGUAUUCAAUUGUCAGAGGUGAAAUUCUUGGAUUUAUUGAAGACUAACUACUGCGGAAGCAUUUGCCAAGGAUGUUUUCAUUAAUCAAGAACGAAAGUUAGGGGAUCGAAGACGAUCAGAUACCGUCGUAGUCUUAACCAUAAACUAUGCCGACUAGGGAUCGGACGCAGUUAAUUUUAUAAUGACGUGUUCGGCACCUUACG